CCUACGGGUGGCAGCAGUGAGGGAUAUUGGGCAAUGGGGGAAACCCUGAACCAGCAACGCCGCGUGAGGGAAGACGGCUUUCGGCUUGUAAACCUCUGUCCUCUGUGAAGAUAAUGACGGUAGCAGAGGAGGAAGCUCCGGCUAACUACGUGCCAGCAGCCGCGGGAAUAAGUAGGGAGUAAGCGUUGUCCGGCUUUACUGGGUGUAAAGAGUGCGUAGGCGGCCCUGCAAGUCAGAAGUGAAAGCCAUGGGCUUAACCCGUGGACUGCUUUUGAAACUGUAGGGCGUGAGUGAAGUAGAGGCAGGCGGAAUUCCCGGUGUAGCGGUGCAAUGCGUAGAGAUAGGGAGGAACACCAGUGGCGAAGGCGGCCUGCUGGGCUUUAACUGACGCUGAAGCACGAAAGCGUGGGUAGCAAACAGGAUUAGAUACCCGAGUAGUC
Molecule: ribosomal RNA, 440 nt
Filed under: uncultured bacterium
Lineage: Bacteria
Description: partial 16S ribosomal RNA
Rfam family: Bacterial small subunit ribosomal RNA
Source: RNAcentral